AUUGAACGCUGGCGGCAGGCCUAACACAUGCAAGUCGAGCGGAUGAAGGGAGCUUGCUCCUGGAUUCAGCGGCGGACGGGUGUGUAAUGCCUAGGAAUCUGCCUGGGAGUGGGGGAUAACGUCCGGAAACGGGCGCUAAUACCGCAUACGUCCUGAGGGUGAUAUUGGGUGUUCUUCGGACCUCACGCUAUCAGAUGAGCCUAGGUCGGAUUAGCUAGUUGGUGGGGUAAAGGCCUACCAAGGCGACGAUCCGUAACUGGUCUGAGAGGAUGAUCAGUCACACUGGAACUGAGACACGGUCCAGACUCCUACGGGAGGCAGCAGUGGGGAAUAUUGGACAAUGGGCGAAAGCCUGAUCCAGCCAUGCCGCGUGUGUGAAGAAGGUCUUCGGAUUGUAAAGCACUUUAAGUUGGGAGGAAGGGCAGUAAGUUAAUACCUUGCUGUUUUGACGGUACCAAAAGAAUAAGCACCGGCUAACUUCGUG
This 484-nucleotide ribosomal RNA is filed under the name uncultured bacterium. RNAcentral's name for it is "partial 16S ribosomal RNA". It matches the Rfam family "Bacterial small subunit ribosomal RNA", at positions 30 to 507 of the family's 1533-position model. The record is from RNAcentral.